This is a long non-coding RNA of Motacilla alba alba, 3761 nucleotides long. RefSeq lists it as uncharacterized. The record is from RefSeq and is a predicted model, not a curated record. Lineage: Eukaryota; Metazoa; Chordata; Aves; Passeriformes; Motacillidae. The transcript has 3 exons.
GAUUGCUCCUCUCUCCCUCAUCAAGUCAAAAAUCCCAGAUCUAGGUUCAAAACCUUUGUUUGGGUUAUUCCCCUCUGUGUGUGCACACCUGGUAACAGUUUCACCCAUGCACACGGCUCUGUGUAGAAUAAAUGCUGUUGGAACUGGCCAAGGUGGCCCGUGGUCCUGGCUGUACGUGUGGCUUGCCAGCUUUGCACCAGGCAUCUGCUGCAGUGGAGCAGGGCCUGCUGUGUGACUGCAUCCCCAGCCACCCAAAUAAUCCCCUGUUUGCCAAGGGAACCAUUGCUGGAUCAGCACUGGAUGUCAUCUGCUCAACCUGGCCCCAUCCCAGGACCCCAUGGCAAAUCCCCUGGGUGACAUCUGACAUGUCUGGCUUGUAAAACCCACUCAGAUCUGUCCCAGCCUCUUUGAAUUAACGCUGCUUGUGUCUUAAGCCUCUCAGUCAUGUGAGGAUUUUGUAAUGUGGGACACGGCAUCAGCUGAACUGACCCAAGCACCUCAUGGCUGCCUUCUCCACGGCUGCACACGUCCACAGGGCACACCAGCUGCUUCUCACCUGAUCUGGACAUCUAAGAGAAACUCAUCCGGGGUUAAGGCAAUGUCAACACCUCCCACAAUUGUCACUGGGGAGAGGUCAGCUCCUCCCAGAAAGCUGCUUCCCUCCCAUGAUGUUUAUCCCAAGCUUAUCCCACACACAUAACUGUAGAAGAAGCCAUGGGGACCGUCUUAGGUCCAGACAAGGAAUUCUUUGGUGCCUAAGAGAGAUGCAAACUUGGAUCUGCAGCCCCAGCUGUAAAAAUGUUACAACUCUGAAAGUCUCUCCAGAGGCGUGAAGUAAAGCUGGUUGGAAAUAACUCCAUCUUGGACCUUUUGGCAUUUCCCUUUCAGAAGGCAGAGCAAACCUGGCCUUGGCCCUGAUGCAGCUGAGAUCAGGAGAUAAUUGCCUCAUUUUCUGGGCUUUUCAGCACAGGCAGCUUCAUCCUGCCUCCCCCAACAGACUGCAAUGUCUACAGCAAGGAGCGAAACACCACCUCCCAAAAGAUGGCAUGGAGCACCAAGGAGAUCCAGAUCAGUUCUACAACAGCCAGGACAGGUGCCUGUACCAGACAGAAAGGAUUUAGGAACCGGUGCACUACUGUCCACCACUGCCUUCUCAGGCAGACAGAUCCUUUUGCAGUCAGGCCUUUAGCAUUUCAGCCUUAGAGCAGGUUGUAAUAAUUAGGAUCUUUUCCACCCCCCUGUCAGGUAGGGAAGGACUAAUUAGCUUCACUGUAUGUUUGGGAAGCCCAGAAAGGAGAGUACAUUCUCCUUGUGUUAACUAAGCUGUUUAGUCCAAUGGUUAAUUGCAGCUGCCUAAUGUGGGAUUCACAUUCUCUGAACCUGAGAGAAGCAGAGAAGAGAAUGAUCAAAAACAAUUCUUAUCUCAUUUGCUGCUCCUGUUGUUUUGUGAACGUGUGGAAUGUGUUGGGAGAUUAUUUACCUGAAGGAAUUUGGUAAUUGGAUUCUGGUGUGAGCGUUUUGUUUUCUUGACCAAUCUCUGCAAGCUGUAGCGUGACAAUCUGUCAGGAGAAAGUCACGAGAUCUCGUUGAGUGCUUGUGCAGUUUCAGUUUAGAUGUAGUGUAAUAUAGUGUAAUAUAGUAUCGUAUAAUAUAGAAUAAUAAAGUAAUUAAUUAGCCUUCUGAUAUGGAACCAGAUGCAUCAUUCUUCCCACAUGUUGGGAGCGCCUGGCAAAAAUAUAGCCUAACAGUCAGGGGAGCAAGGCCAGCUCCUCUGCAAGGCUUUUCAGUGCUAUUGGACAAAUCUGACAGUGGGAAUAUCCUGCCUUUCCCUGCUGAUCAGUGGUUUGGUCUUCAGCUGGGAUCAAAUGCAAGACGGGUUGAAUCUCAUCUUGAGGGAAGAGGGGCCUCAGAGAUGUGUAUGAGUUAGGGCAGGGAACAAGCCCUCCCUAAGCUCUCCUUAGUCACAGCCAUGUGCUCAAUCCACUGAGCCACUUCCUCUCUUAUUUGUGUAAACCGAGGGGAUUUGGGAUUCCAAUAUGAUAGACAAGGAUUUAACUACUUCCUCCCUCCUCCCAAAUAACUUUCCCUGAAAUUAACAUGGUAAACAGGGCCCCUGCUCUCAAAAAACCCUUUUUGUUUGGUGUUGUUUUUGUAACUGAUCCUCUGCUGGAAAACAAGCAACUCGCAUUUCUGCUAAAAACAACCCAAGGGAACCUCUUAAUAAUAACACUACAAGCAGUCUCAUACCCUGCUCCACUGGGUGACAAAAGAGUGGGUACCCAGCCAUGGAUGGGUUGGCAGUCCUGUGGUAUAAAGCAGCUCUGGGGCAGCUGGCAGCAGAAAACAAAGAUCAAGACAAGAUGGAGAAAGAGGCAGUCACAGAUGUGAAAAACAGGACUGUGCUACUCCUUCUACCUGGAGAAUAGUGAGAAACCUCCUGUCUAUCACAUAGUCUAGGAAUAUGUUUUGGAACUGUGCCUUCUAAAUGGCUUUACUCAAGGCUAGGCCUAAAAGCACAAAGUGGCUUGCAGUGAUUUCUUAGCUAGGUCUCAAAGGUGCAGUGCAGAGAGAAGCGAAAGGAAUCCCUUUUGUGGAAGGGAAAAUGAUGGCCCAGAGCAUCAGAUGACUGAGCAGCCAAGUUGGGAAUCCCCCAAUGCUGCCCCCAGACUAAGUUGUUCCUUCCUUAUGUAAGGAGGUAGGUUUUUCACAGGCUGGGGCUGGGUUUUCUUUGACACAGGUUUCCUUCCCCAAGGAGCAGAAAUGAGAGCACACAACCAGCCCUUGGCCACAGCCUCGCUGCUGUGAGAGGCACAGCAGCAAGGAGAGUGUCUUGGUAUGGUAGGACAGGAGCUCCAGCCAGGACAGCUGAGGUGAAAAUCCUGCACAAAUCCAUAUGAGACACCCUUGCAGCUCAAGACAUCCACCAGCUAAUCCUCCCUUUGGCAAUCUCCCCACUUCCAUCCAAGGAGUUUGGGUUACGACGGCUGCUGUCUUAAUGAGUGUGACUCUGAGGAGGAUGGCUUCUCCAGGACAAAAAUAGAGUACUCUGCAUGAUGUUGGUCACCUUGCCUCUUAAGAGAACCAGGCACUUCACAAACUGCUCAAAGCUUGCUUCACAAGCCUCAGAAGGGAGGUGAGUCCUCACCCAGGAAGCUGUGCACACAGAGCUGGGUCGAGGGUAGCCAAGUGCCUGUCUCGUGCUUCAAAAUAAUCCUGACCUGAACUGGGCACAGAAUGUGCAUCUCCCACCAUGCAGGUUUCUAAGCAGUUUGUGAGGCCAGGCCCUGGCCCUGGCUGUUCACUGUCACACAGACCUAGCAGUGUUCUUUCUUUGGCAGAUGGAAGGUGUUAACUCAUGUUUCCUGGCCACACUUCAAUUUGGCUGGCUAUAUUUUUACUUUCUGAUAUUCCUGCCACACCCAAUCAACCAGUUUUGACCAUUUGCUGAUUCCCCCCAUCACUUGUUCCUGUUGGUUGUGGUGAUGGCUUGUGAAGGCUGACCUAGAACAGAGGCUAAAGAGAGUUAAAGAAUAAAUCAGGGAUUUUUAAAAGGUCUUAAUGGAUCCACCUUGGGCUGCACAAGAGCCCAGCCAGGGCUACACCCAAGAUCAACCAAAAUGGUCACAAAAUGGACAGCCGGUCACGGGGUCUCUCACUUUUACAAGUUCUGCUCUAUUUACAUAUUGAAGUUAAUUGUCCAAUUCCAGCUUUAGCCCAUGCAGUCCCAUCCUUCUUGUUUUUCUCUCUUCAGCCCACGUUGU